GGGAUGCCGGCGAGUGGCGAACGGGUGAGUAAUGCAUCGGAACGUGCCCAGUCGUGGGGGAUAACGCAGCGAAAGCUGUGCUAAUACCGCAUACGAUCUAUGGAUGAAAGCGGGGGACCGUAAGGCCUCGCGCGAUUGGAGCGGCCGAUGUCAGAUUAGGUAGUUGGUGGGGUAAAGGCCUACCAAGGCGACGAUCCAUAGCUGGUCUGAGAGGAUGAUCAGCCACAUUGGGACUGAGACACGGCCCAAACUCCUACGGGAGGCAGCAGUGGGGAAUAUUGGACAAUGGGCGCAAGCCUGAUCCAGCCAUGCCGCGUGAGUGAUGAAGGUCUUAGGAUUGUAAAGCUCUUUCACCGGAGAAGAUAAUGAUGGUAUCCGGAGAAGAAGCCCCGGCUA
RNAcentral lists this ribosomal RNA (396 nucleotides) under uncultured bacterium. RNAcentral's name for it is "bacterial SSU rRNA". It matches the Rfam family "Bacterial small subunit ribosomal RNA", at positions 82 to 499 of the family's 1533-position model. The record is from RNAcentral.